RNAcentral lists this unclassified non-coding RNA (297 nucleotides) under uncultured fungus. Its description in RNAcentral is "sequence contains ITS1". The record is from RNAcentral. Lineage: Eukaryota; Fungi.
UUAUUAAAUUAACUUUAUACUCCGACGUAAGAAUGCAGUGUUUUGAUUGUUGACCCCUGGGGACGGAUGCCGACCAGCGGUAGUGCCGCCCCAAAAACAACGUCGAUACAGGGACGGAUGCCGACCAGCGGUAGUGCCGUCUCACGAGCGACGUUGAAUGGCCCCCCCGGGACGAGUGAGUGCCGGCCAGCGGCAGGGUCGUCCCGGAAGCAACAGGAUGUGUUCACAAAGGGUUGGAGUUCAGGGCACGUAGCCCUCAGCUCAAUAAUGAUCCCUCCGCAGGUUCACCUACGGAGA